RNAcentral lists this ribosomal RNA (617 nucleotides) under uncultured bacterium. RNAcentral describes it as "bacterial SSU rRNA". It matches the Rfam family "Bacterial small subunit ribosomal RNA", at positions 67 to 717 of the family's 1533-position model. The record is from RNAcentral.
CGGGGUCGGAACUUCGGUUCUGGCUUACGUGGCGCACGGGUGAGUAACACGUGGGAAUCUGCCCAUCUAUGGGGAAUAACUGCGGGAAACUGCAGCUAAUACCGCAUACGCCCUUCGGGGGAAAGGCUUCGGCCGUAGAUGGAUGAGCCCGCGUCCGAUUAGCUAGUUGGUGGGGUAAAAGCCUACCAAGGCGACGAUCGGUAGCUGGUCUGAGAGGAUGAUCAGCCACACUGGGACUGAGACACGGCCCAGACUCCUACGGGAGGCAGCAGUGGGGAAUAUUGGACAAUGGGCGAAAGCCUGAUCCAGCAAUGCCGCGUGAGUGAUGAAGGUCUUCGGAUUGUAAAGCUCUUUCGACGGGGAAGAUAAUGACGGUACCCGUAGAAGAAGCCCCGGCUAACUUCGUGCCAGCAGCCGCGGUAAUACGAAGGGGGCUAGCGUUGUUCGGAUUUACUGGGCGUAAAGCGUGCGUAGGCGGCUUGUCAAGUCAGAAGUGAAAGCCCGGGGCUCAACUCCGGAACUGCUUUUGAGACUGGCAGGCUUGAGUUCGGGAGAGGGUAGUGGAAUUCCCAGUGUAGAGGUGAAAUUCGUAGAUAUUGGGAAGAACACCGGUGGCG